RNAcentral lists this ribosomal RNA (403 nucleotides) under uncultured bacterium. Its description in RNAcentral is "bacterial SSU rRNA". It matches the Rfam family "Bacterial small subunit ribosomal RNA", at positions 29 to 430 of the family's 1533-position model. The record is from RNAcentral.
AUUGAACGCUGGCGGUAGGCCUAACACAUGCAAGUCGAACGCGAAAGUCCUUCGGGAGUGAGUAGAGUGGCGGACGGGUGAGUAACGCGUAGGAAUCUAUCCUGUAGUGGGGGAGUAACGUUUCGAAAGGAACGCUAAUACCGCAUACGCCCCAACGGGGGAAAGGACGGGGGAGUCUUCGGACCUCGUGCUAUAGGAGGAGCCUGCGUCGGAUUAGCUAGUUGGUGAGGUAAAGGCUCACCAAGGCGACGAUCCGUAGCUGGUCUGAGAGGAUGAUCAGCCACACCGGAACUGAGACACGGUCCGGACUCCUACGGGAGGCAGCAGUGGGGGAAUAUUGCGCAAUGGGCGAAAGCCUGACGCAGCCAUACCGCGUGUGUGAAGAAGGCCUUCGGUUGUAAAG